AUUGAACGCUGGCGGCAUGCCUUACACAUGCAAGUCGAACGGUAACGCGGGGCAACCUGGCGACGAGUGGCGUACGGGUGAGUAAUGCAUCGGAACGUGCCCAGAAGUGGGGGAUAGCCCGGCGAAAGCCGGAUUAAUACCGCAUGAGACCUGAGGGUGAAAGCGGGGGAUCGCCAGACCUCGCGCUUUUGGAGCGGCCGAUGUCAGAUUAGCUAGUUGGUGGGGUAAAGGCCUACCAAGGCGACGAUCUGUAACUGGUCUGAGAGGACGACGAGCCACACUGGGACUGAGACACGGCCGAGACUCCUACGGGAGGCCGCAGUGGGGAAUUUUGGGCGAUGGGCGCAAGCCUGAUCCAGCCAUGCCGCGUGCGGGAAGAAGGACUUCGGGUUGGAAACCGAUGUUGUCAGGGAAGAAACGCUCUGGGCUAAUACGCUGGGGUAAUGACGGUACCUGAAGAAUAAGCACCGGCUAACUACGUG
RNAcentral lists this ribosomal RNA (482 nucleotides) under uncultured bacterium. Its description in RNAcentral is "partial 16S ribosomal RNA". It matches the Rfam family "Bacterial small subunit ribosomal RNA", at positions 29 to 507 of the family's 1533-position model. The record is from RNAcentral.